This 639-nucleotide ribosomal RNA is filed under the name uncultured Staphylococcus sp. Its description in RNAcentral is "bacterial SSU rRNA". It matches the Rfam family "Bacterial small subunit ribosomal RNA", at positions 66 to 682 of the family's 1533-position model. The record is from RNAcentral. Lineage: Bacteria; Bacillati; Bacillota; Bacilli; Caryophanales; Staphylococcaceae.
GCGAACGGACGAGAAGCUUGCUUCUCUGAUGUUAGCGGCGGACGGGUGAGUAACACGUGGAUAACCUACCUAUAAGACUGGGAUAACUUCGGGAAACCGGAGCUAAUACCGGAGUAAUAUUUUGGACCGCAUGGUUCACAAGUGAAAGACGGUCUUGCUGUCACUUAUAGAUGGAUCCGCGCUGCAUUAGCUAGUUGGUAAGGUAACGGCUUACCAAGGCAACGAUGCAUAGCCGACCUGAGAGGGUGAUCGGCCACACUGGAACUGAGACACAGUCCAGACUCCUACGGGAGGCAGCAGUAGGGAAUCGUUCGCAAUGGGCGAAAGCCUGACGGAGCAGCGCCGCGUGAGUGAUGAAGGUCUUCGGUUCCUUUUACUCUGUUAUUAGGGAAGAACAUUAUGUGUAAGUAUCUGUGCUACAUCUUGACGGUACCUUAUCAGAAAGCCACGGCUAACUACGUGCCAGCUAGCCGCGGUAAUACGUAGGUGGCAAGCGUUAUCCGGAAUUAUUGGGCGUAAAGCGCGCGUGGGCGGUUUUUUAAGUCUGAUGUGAAAGCCCACGGCUCAACCGUGGAGGGUCAUUGGAAUACUGGAAUACUUGAGUGCAGAAGAGGAAAGUGGUAUUCCAUGUGUAGCGGU